Homo sapiens (human) is the source of this 46-nucleotide regulatory RNA element. It matches the Rfam family "Histone 3' UTR stem-loop". From Rfam's summary of the family: The mRNAs of metazoan histone genes lack a poly-A tail. 3' end processing occurs at a site between a highly conserved stem-loop (modelled by this family) and a purine rich region around 20 nts downstream (the histone downstream element, or HDE). Lineage: Eukaryota; Metazoa; Chordata; Mammalia; Primates; Hominidae. The record is from Rfam.
CCAAAGGCUCUUUUAAGAGCCACCCACCUGGUCGAAGAGUUGCUGU